This 721-nucleotide long non-coding RNA is filed under the name Phoenix dactylifera (date palm). RNAcentral's name for it is "long non-coding RNA (PDAC_LNC004901)". The record is from RNAcentral. Lineage: Eukaryota; Viridiplantae; Streptophyta; Magnoliopsida; Arecales; Arecaceae.
AACUUAGAUGAUGUUAUCUUUACUACUAGAAUAAGGAGAUAGAGAUUUGAUUUUGGUAGUUAUUACUUAUUAAUGGAGAGCAUGGACUUAGAGGGACAGAAGGUGAAAAUUAGCCCUUUCUAAUUCCAAAAAAUAAAUCCUGCUAUGAAGGAAGCACAUUAUAGUAUUUGGAUUGGGAAAUGGGCAAGUCUGUUCAAGCUGAUUAGUGAAUGAUGUUAUGAAUAUGGUUGCUAAAUAGACAGCCCUUACAAAUAUGACAAACUAGAGGUCUGGUAUAAAAAAUAAGGAUCCAUGUGGGAGAGUUGAGGACCUUGGACUGGUGAAGGGUUGUAAUGAAUGCGGUAGAACAUGUAAUUCUCUUCAGCAAGAGCAGAAGGAAUCCGAGUCUCUGUUCCUCCUUUUUAUGUGUGUGAGUUUUGCGACUAAAUAUGAUAUGGAGCAAGUGAGAUGCAUACACUGUACAAAUUUCAUGAACUGUCAUGACUUGAUGCUUUUCUCUAAGAACAUUAGGAUAUGCAUGAUUUUGCCUAUAUCACCCCUGUAUCUGGAACACAAUAGACGCCGUAUACUUGCAGAACGGAUCAUAUAAACAUGCAAGAUUACUGAUCAAAUUAUAAUAAUUUCAAAAAAUAAUAAUAAUUCUUCGUUCCUCAAAAAUUAAUUAAUUUAAUCAAGAUUUAAGCAAAUUAUUCUCAUAAUCAAUUAUUCUAAAGUAACAUAA